RNAcentral lists this ribosomal RNA (1381 nucleotides) under uncultured bacterium. RNAcentral's name for it is "16S ribosomal RNA". It matches the Rfam family "Bacterial small subunit ribosomal RNA". The record is from RNAcentral.
UUCGCCCUUAGAGUUUGAUCCUGGCUCAGGACGAACGCUGGCGGCGCGCCUAACACAUGCAAGUCGAACGAGCGAGAGAGAGCUUGCUUUCUCGAGCGAGUGGCGAACGGGUGAGUAACGCGUGAGGAACCUGCCUCAAAGAGGGGGACAACAGUUGGAAACGACUGCUAAUACCGCAUAAGCCCACGACCCGGCAUCGGGUUGAGGGAAAAGGAGCAAUCCGCUUUGAGAUGGCCUCGCGUCCGAUUAGCUAGUUGGUGAGGUAACGGCCCACCAAGGCAACGAUCGGUAGCCGGACUGAGAGGUUGAACGGCCACAUUGGGACUGAGACACGGCCCAGACUCCUACGGGAGGCAGCAGUGGGGAAUAUUGCACAAUGGGGGAAACCCUGAUGCAGCGACGCCGCGUGGAGGAAGAAGGUCUUCGGAUUGUAAACUCCUGUUGUUGAGGAAGAUAAUGACGGUACUCAACAAGGAAGUGACGGCUAACUACGUGCCAGCAGCCGCGGUAAAACGUAGGUCACAAGCGUUGUCCGGAAUUACUGGGUGUAAAGGGAGCGCAGGCGGGAAGACAAGUUGGAAGUGAAAUCCAUGGGCUCAACCCAUGAACUGCUUUCAAAACUGUUUUUCUUGAGUAGUGCAGAGGUAGGCGGAAUUCCCGGUGUAGCGGUGGAAUGCGUAGAUAUCGGGAGGAACACCAGUGGCGAAGGCGGCCUACUGGGCACCAACUGACGCUGAGGCUCGAAAGUGUGGGUAGCAAACAGAAUGAGAUACCCUGGUAGUCCACACCGUAAACGAUGAUUACUAGGUGUUGGAGGAUUGACCCGUUUCAGUCGCGCAGUUCUCACAAUAGGUAUUCCACGGGGGGAGUUGGGCCGCAAGGUUGAAACUCAAAGGAUUCGACGGGGGGCCCGCACAAGCAGUGGAGUAUGUGGGUGAAUUCGACGCAACGCGAAGAACCUUAGCAAGUCUUGACAUCCUGCGACGGUUCUGGAAACAGAACUUUCCUUCGGGACGCAGAGACAGGUGGUGCAUGGUUGUCGUCAGCUCGUGUCGUGAGACGUUGGGUUAAGUCCCGCAACGAGCGCAACCCUUAUGGUCAGUUACUACGCAAGAGGACUCCGGCCAGACUGCCGUUGACAAAACGGAGGAAGGUGGGGAUGACGUCAAAUCAUCAUGCCCUUUAUGACUUGGGCUACACACGUACUACAAUGGCGUUAAACAAAGAGAAGCAAGACCGCGAGGUGGAGCAAAACUCAGAAACAACGUCCCAGUUCGGACUGCAGGCUGCAACUCGCCUGCACGAAGUCGGAAUUGCUAGUAAUCGCAGAUCAGCAUGCUGCGGUGAAUACGUUCCCGGGCCUUGCACACACCGCCCGUCA